Molecule: ribosomal RNA, 1115 nt
Filed under: Phycisphaerae bacterium
Lineage: Bacteria; Pseudomonadati; Planctomycetota; Phycisphaerae
Description: bacterial SSU rRNA
Rfam family: Bacterial small subunit ribosomal RNA
Source: RNAcentral
UUCUUUCUUGACGGAGAGUUUGAUCCUGGCUCAGGAUGAACGCUGGCGGCGUGCCUAACACAUGCAAGUCGAACGAAGAGGCUCCUUCGGGAGUACUUCAGUGGCGGACGGGUGAGUAACACGUAGGUGACCUGCCCCGAAGUGUGGGAUAACAGUCCGAAAGGAUUGCUAAUACCGCAUGUGGUCUGCGAGUUUAGAAGGCGCAGACUAAAGCAGCAAUGUGCUUCGGGAGGGGCCUGCGCCCCAUCAGCUAGUUGGUAGGGUAAUGGCCUACCAAGGCAACAACGGGUAGGGGGCCUGAGAGGGUGACCCCCCACAUUGGCACUGACACACGGGCCAAACUCCUACGGGAGGCAGCAGUGAGGAAUAUUGCUCAAUGGGCGAAAGCCUGAAGCAGCAACGCCGCGUGCGCGAUGAAGGUCUUCGGAUCGUAAAGCGCUUUUGAGAGGGACGAGAUAGGACGGUACCUCUUGAAUAAGUCACGGCUAACUACGUGCCAGCAGCCGCGGUAAAACGUAGGUGGCAAGCGUUAUCCGGAUUCACUGGGCGUAAAGCGCGUGCAGGUGGCUUCGUAAGUUGGACGUUAAAUCUUUCGGCCUAACCGGGAGGUGUCGUUCAAUACUGCGGGGCUUGAGGGUAGAAGAGGGGGGUGGAAUUGCCGGUGUAGUGGUGAAAUGCGUAGAUAUCGGCAGGAACACCUGUGGCGAAAGCGGCCCCCUGGUCUGCUCCUGACACUCAGACGCGAAAGCUAGGGGAGUGAACGGGAUUAGAAACCCCGGUAAUCCUAGCCGUAAACGAUGGAUGCUAGGUGUGGGUGGUAUUGACCCCAUCCGUGCCGAAGCCAACGCGUUAAGCAUCCCGCCUGGGGACUACGGCCGCAAGGUUAAAACUCAAAGGAAUUGACGGGGACCCGCACAAGCAGCGGAGCGUGUGGUUUAAUUCGAUGCUACACGAAGAACCUUACCCAGGUUUGACAUGCAGGUAGUAGUGAAGCGAAAGCGGAACGACUCGCAAGAGAGCCUGCACAGGUGCUGCAUGGCUGUCGUCAGCUCGUGCCGUGAGGUGUUUGGUUAAGUCCACUAACGAGCGCAACCCUUAGAGCCAGUUACAAGUGU